RNAcentral lists this ribosomal RNA (322 nucleotides) under uncultured eukaryote. Its description in RNAcentral is "partial 18S ribosomal RNA". It matches the Rfam family "Eukaryotic small subunit ribosomal RNA", at positions 1470 to 1796 of the family's 1831-position model. The record is from RNAcentral.
CCCUUAGAUGUUCUGGGCCGCACGCGUGCUACACUGACCGGCGCAACAAGUUUCUUUCCUUGGCUCGAUAGGCCUGGGUAAUCUUUGAACGCCGGUCGUGAUGGGGAUAGAUCCUUGCAAUUUUUGAUCUUCAACGAGGAAUUCCUAGUAAAUGCGAGUCAUCAUCUCGCGUUGAUUACGUCCCUGCCCUUUGUACACACCGCCCGUCGCACCUACCGAUUGAAUGGUCCGGUGAAAUCUCGGGACGGCGGCUUGGUCGCUUGCGUCCGACUGCUGAAACUUGAUUAAACCAUAUCAUUUAGAGGAAGGUGAAGUCGUANCA